AAUCAACGCUGGCGGCGUGCCUAACACAUGCAAGUCGCACGAGAAAGGGUAGCAAUACCUGAGUACAGUGGCGCACGGGUGAGUAACACGUGAAUCAUCUACCUUCGAGUGGGGAAUAACUGAGAGAAAUCUUAGCUAAUACCGCAUAAUACCUACGGGUCAAAGCAGCAAUGCGCUUGAAGAGGAGUUCGCGGCAGAUUAGUUAGUUGGCGGGGUAAUGGCCCACCAAGACGAUGAUCUGUAUCCGGCCUGAGAGGGCGCACGGACACACUGGAACUGAAACACGGUCCAGACUCCUACGGGAGGCAGCAGUGGGGAAUUUUGCGCAAUGGGGGAAACCCUGACGCAGCAACGCCGCGUGGAGGAUGAAAUCCCUUGGGAUGUAAACUCCUUUCGAUAGGGAAGAUAAUGACGGUACCUAUAGAAGAAGCCCCGGCUAACUUCGUGCCAGCAGCCGCGGUAAUACGAGGGGGGCAAGCGUUGUUCGGAAUUAUUGGGCGUAAAGGGUGCGUAGGCGGUUUGACAAGUCU
Molecule: ribosomal RNA, 530 nt
Filed under: uncultured Acidobacteriaceae bacterium
Lineage: Bacteria; Pseudomonadati; Acidobacteriota; Terriglobia; Terriglobales; Acidobacteriaceae
Description: bacterial SSU rRNA
Rfam family: Bacterial small subunit ribosomal RNA
Source: RNAcentral